CCGGAAGUUGUUUAGAGGUCAAGGUUACAGGGACGAACGAAAGUGAAAGAAUAAUAAUUUUUGAUCAGUCGAGACAACAUCAUGAAAUUGACGCAUCUUAUUCGUGCAGCCACUGCAGCAAAAAAGAGUGCACCACAAUUUUAUAAAAUUGUCUAUGAUUGCAAAGCAACAGAAACAUAUGCCAAAGCCAACAGAAUCAUUUCGAAGGGCCAUGUUACAGACAGUGCCUCGGAAAUGCAGACCGCCAUAACAUUGGCUGCUCUUUGGGGAAUUGGCAUUUUGUUCGUGGCAAAGAUAUGGGGAGGUGACCAUGGCUUAAAGGUUAAAUUCUCUCACACUUACCAGUCUAUAACUGGAGGGUCAUCUAGCUCCAGUGGGGGUCACUAGCUUUUUGGUUUAUAGAAUAUAAAGGUUUUAUAGAAUUGACAGAAAUGACAACUUCCGUCUGUGAAAUAAAAGACUUCAAACAGAGUUUUAUCAAUUAGUGACACUAUCAAAAUUCAUGGACAAGAAAACCUAAAUUAUUUUGUAAAUCUGAGGUCGUCAGAGUUUCUGCUCCAUUUGUAGAUUCAUUUUUUUUAAUAGGACAGUUUGACAUUGUAUUUAGAUGAAUAUAAUAAAAUGUAAAUUUGA
This is a long non-coding RNA of Mya arenaria, 633 nucleotides long. RefSeq lists it as uncharacterized. The transcript has 5 exons. The record is from RefSeq and is a predicted model, not a curated record. Lineage: Eukaryota; Metazoa; Mollusca; Bivalvia; Myida; Myidae.